This 229-nucleotide unclassified non-coding RNA is filed under the name plant metagenome. RNAcentral's name for it is "partial contains small subunit ribosomal RNA, internal transcribed spacer 1, and 5.8S ribosomal RNA". The record is from RNAcentral.
UCUCCGUAGGUGAACCUGCGGAGGGAUCAUUAAAGAGUUCAUGCCCUACCGGGUAGAUCUCCCACCCUAUGUUAUUAUUACUUUGUUGCUUUGGCGGGCCGUUAGGCUCGGGCCCGACUACCGGCCCCGGCUGGUAAGCGCCCGCCAGAGGACCCAAAACCCUGAAUAUUAGUGUCGUCUGAGUACUAUAUAAUAGUUAAAACUUUCAACAACGGAUCUCUUGGUUCUG